RNAcentral lists this long non-coding RNA (959 nucleotides) under Homo sapiens (human). RNAcentral describes it as "PREDICTED lncRNA (TCONS_00005852)". The record is from RNAcentral. Lineage: Eukaryota; Metazoa; Chordata; Mammalia; Primates; Hominidae.
CUUGCUUCCCCGAAAACCUCGCCACUAUCAGCUACUAUUUUGUUUUUUGACAGGGCACAGCAUCUGCCUAGAAAUGACAACAGGUGGAAUGAGUAUGGACAUUCUGGGGAGAAGGCCAAGGUAGUGGAAAAUCCACCAGACAUUGAGAAAAUCUACCACAGCUGCCCAUUAAGAUGUUGACACUGAUAAGGUCUAAGAUGCUGCAAUCCCUGCUUCCUGUCUGCUCAAUGCUCUACGCUCAGAAUUUAGAACAGCACCUGGCAUAUGGGUCUCACUCUUUUGCCCAGGCUGGAGUGCAUGGGCGCAAUCUUGGCUCACUGCAGCAUCGACCUCCCAGACUGAAUCGCUCCUCCCACCUCAGCCUCAGGAGUAGCUGGGACUACAGGCGCAUGUCACCAUGCCAGGCUAAGUUUUGUGUUUUUGGUAGAGACAGGGUUUCACCAUGUUGCUCAGGCUAGUCUCAAACUCCUGGGCUCAAGCAAUCUGCCCGCCGCAGCUUCCCGAAGUGCUGGGAUUCCAUGUGUGAGCCAUCGCUCUCAGCCUGAUAAUUUUCUUAAAAUUGCCAGUGCUACUGUAAGAGACAUAGUUAAGUUUAUAUUAAAAGGAAAACCAAGGUAUUGCUUAGUUGUCAUAAAGUUGUGUGAAGAUUAAGUGAAAUAUGUUAGUGGUUUUCUCACAGAGUAUACACACAGAGAGUUACACUUUACACAGAAAUCUAUAUAUCCCACAAGUAAACUGAUUUUAAGGGAAUCAUUUUCUAGUUUCCCAAUUUCCAUAUGUAUGAUGUCUUAAAUUUUGUAUGCCUGAGAAACAAUGCAAUCAAGGCAUCCCGCUGGUUCUUCUGUCUCAACUCCUCUGUUUCAACAGUCUUUCCCUUACUUUCGAAAAAAAGCAUAUUUUUCAUUGAUCUCAAAUAUUACAAUAACAUAUACAUAGAAUAUAAAAAUUUGGGGAUACCA